AUAUGAGCUAUAAUAUUGAUCAACUUGUUUAAUCCAAUUAAAAUAUUGUAUAUUUACUAAUUUUAUCUUGUAUAAUGAAAAUAUUAUGGAACCGUUUGAGACAAAUUUGAAUUAUACAUAGAUGAUUUUCUUAGCCAUGAUGGUAUCUUUCCUUGAGAAAAAUAAAAUAUAACCACAACUACAUAUACAUGUGUAUAUAUAUACGCAUUUUAUAUAAGUGAUUUUAGAAGUUAUGUUUUAUAUAUAUUUAACUUGAUUAUUAUUUUUAUAAUCAUCAAUUAGAAUAAAUUACAACAGGAUUGGAAAUCUAUAUUGAUUGUCAA
RNAcentral lists this long non-coding RNA (323 nucleotides) under Physcomitrium patens. RNAcentral's name for it is "long non-coding RNA (PPAT_LNC000443)". Lineage: Eukaryota; Viridiplantae; Streptophyta; Bryopsida; Funariales; Funariaceae. The record is from RNAcentral.